CGGGGUGCAGCAGGCGCGAAAACUUUACAAUGCUGGAAACAGCGAUAAGGGGACCUCGAGUGCCAGGUUACAAAUCUGGCUGUCGUGAUGCCUAAAAAGCAUUGCAUAGCAAGGGCCGGGCAAGACCGGUGCCAGCCGCCGCGGUAACACCGGCGGCUCGAGUGGUAACCGUUAUUAUUGGGUCUAAAGGGUCUGUAGCCGGCCGGAUAAGUCUCUUGGGAAAUCCAGCAGCUCAACUGUUGGGCUUUCAGGAGAUACUGUCUGGCUCGAGGCCGGGAGAGGUGAGAGGUACUUCAGGGGUAGGGGUGAAAUCUUGUAAUCCUUGAAGGACCACCAGUGGCGAAGGCGUCUCACCAGAACGGACCUGACGGCAAGGGACGAAAGCUAGGGGCACGAACCGGAUUAGAUACCCGGGUAGUCCUAGCCGUAAACGAUACUCGCUAGGUGUCGGCCACGGUGUGACCGUUGUCGGUGCCGUAGGGAAGCCGUGAAGCGAGCCACCUGGGAAGUACGGCCGCAAGGCUGAAACUUAAAGGAAUUGG
Molecule: ribosomal RNA, 542 nt
Filed under: uncultured archaeon
Lineage: Archaea
Description: bacterial SSU rRNA
Rfam family: Archaeal small subunit ribosomal RNA
Source: RNAcentral